Molecule: long non-coding RNA, 1002 nt
Organism: Callithrix jacchus (white-tufted-ear marmoset)
Lineage: Eukaryota; Metazoa; Chordata; Mammalia; Primates; Cebidae
Source: RefSeq, a predicted model, not a curated record
CUUAGAGGUUACAGGAUUUGCCCGGGGUCACAUGGCUGUGACACAACUAUGAGAACCUUGUUUUAAUUUUAGCAUCUCUUAUGUACUGCCUACCUCAUAACCUUCUUGUCUUAGUUGAUUUGUGCUGCUGUAACAAAAUAUCUCAGCCUGGAUAAUUUAUAACUGUAUGUUAAUUUCUCACUGUUCUGGAGGCUGGGAAGUCCAAGAUCAUGUGACCAUGCUGCUGGUGGUCUGUGUCUGGUGGACACAGAAUCAUCAGACUUCAGAUCUUCCUCUCUCGAGUCAGCCAUGGUCUGUUCCAGGUCACAUCACUGUGGGACAGACAGAGGCUGAGGCAGGACCAGGCCUCCCCAGCCUCCACGUCGUCGUCCACACUUCUUUUCCUCAAUGUGCCUGGGGAUUCUGCAAAAUGUGAUUUCAGGGCAAAAUAUGAAUCCCCCGAGUCAGGAGGAUUUUUCUGAGUAUCCAUCCUCUUCAGAUUCCUACACCCAACACCAAUUCCUAUCUGGGACUUGCCUUUCCAUGAGACCUUGAUCACCACAUGGCUUCAAAAGGCUCAAGUCUUUACCUGCUAGCCAGCUUGGAAGCAGACCAAGGAAAGCCUCAAAGCCACUCCCAGGACAAUCACUUGGGCCUCAAGGAAUAUCUGCCAUGGAAUAUUACAGCAGAAAAAGACCUGUCAGCUCCUCAGUCAUUCUCCAAGGUGAUAUUAACAGGAGGGCAUCUGCAAAGAAACCUCUUUACUGGCUUCUCCAUCUGGGAGCAGCCCUGGCUGCAUCAAUUCCUCCCCUUGAAACCACCAAUCCGGCAGAUGGAUGCGACUGCACAGCUUUCCAGGGAAUUUCCUGAGUAUCUUUCAUGUCAGUGAUAUCUGUGAGAAACAGGAAACUGUUUUCCCAUCUCAUUCACAUAAUAGAUAAGAUGAGAAAUUAGCUGCUGGAUGAACCUGGGGGCUGUUCAUUUUGUCACAAUAAAUAAGGCUCUGCUCAUGCUGGCGCUGCC